RNAcentral lists this long non-coding RNA (263 nucleotides) under Mustela putorius furo (domestic ferret). Its description in RNAcentral is "lncRNA (ENSMPUG00000029494.1)". The record is from RNAcentral. Lineage: Eukaryota; Metazoa; Chordata; Mammalia; Carnivora; Mustelidae.
CUGUGGUCCUUAGUAACUUCCCCAAUGUCCAUGUCUUUAUUAAACCCUUUGCACCUGGCAGUUCGCUGACUGGUCUCGAAAUUCUUGACCCAAGCCCCGUAAGCAAGCUUCUCUCUCCUGUGAGCAUGGCAACAACAGAUAGGGACAUCAGAAGACCUGGGGAACGGUGGUGUUCAAUGACAGCAAGGGAAUGAAGAGUCAACAUGGAUGAUAGGACAGGUACGAUAAGGAGAGAAGUGGUCUGGGAAUUGGGGCCCCACCGC